This is a long non-coding RNA of Lynx canadensis (Canada lynx), 500 nucleotides long. RefSeq lists it as uncharacterized. Lineage: Eukaryota; Metazoa; Chordata; Mammalia; Carnivora; Felidae. The record is from RefSeq and is a predicted model, not a curated record. The transcript has 3 exons.
AGAUACAAAAGCAAAAGCAAGACAAAAAGCGACCAAAAUCCAAAGGAAUCUCUGUGAGUAGAACACCUGAGCUGCAUAGAUGGAGAGCGGAGUUGACACAAUUGUGAUUUGUUGGUUCACGGACAUGAAGGAAAGGAAUCCUCAGUUUGCAGCUGGCUAUGGAAGGCCAGUUACUAUGCAGGAAAGCUGAGAACUGAGAGAAAUGAAAGCUGCAGUUUGCUGAAGUGCUGCCCCCGUUUCCCUGCUUUACAACUGCCUUAGCAAGAAAGAAAAAGAGGAGGAAACAGAAGAAAGAAGAGGAAGAAGUCCCGAAUACCUCACAAGGCUCAGCUCAGUUGGCACCUGUUGUAAAAAUUUCUCUGGCCUUCUCUCUUCUCCUUCCUGGGAGAAGAAUUGAUUACUCUGAUUUCUGCAUUUUCAUUAUGUUCUUAUUCCUACUUCCUUUACUGUUCAUAUCACUUUUCAUAGCCAUUUACAAGACUCACUAAACUAUGACCUGC